GUCAAGAACUAUUUUUUUACAUCAUAUAUUUUUCUACCAUAAGCCUAAUUCACCAUUUUAGAAUUUUACAGACUUGUGGAUUAUUCCACUGGUACAGAUAUAGUUAACCAACUGAUUGAUGUUUAGAUCUGUUGUCCAUGCUUUGCUUAUAAAUAAGGAUUUUUGCAAUGCUUGGUUGUAGCUUGUUUUAUAUACCUUUAAUAUUCUCUGGUUUUGUUUAAUGACACAUACUAUCACAAUUUUGGAGCAAAAAUCUCAUUGGCUGAAGUGAAUGGUGAUUUGUCAGAUCCUAUUAAGUGAAGUGUUGACACAUGUACAGAAUCUGUAUUU
RNAcentral lists this long non-coding RNA (330 nucleotides) under Mytilus galloprovincialis (Mediterranean mussel). The record is from RNAcentral. Lineage: Eukaryota; Metazoa; Mollusca; Bivalvia; Mytilida; Mytilidae.